GUGAUUUCAUUAUUAAGUUAGCAGGGGUGAUAUAGGGAGACUAAUUUGUUUUUGUGUAAAAUUUGAAAGCACAAAAAUAAGGGUAUUAGUAUUUUACCUUGUUACUUUUGACUUUUGAAGCAAUUAGGAUCGAGUUGGUACUGGUGGAAAUCUUUAGCAUCUUAGAAUCAAGAUAUUCAUUUUUAGCUUACAUUUUGUUUGAUGAGUGACCAUACAUUUUGUCAUGCCACCCUUAUGGGGCUGGUGGUCAUUUUUAUGUCUUGUAAUGACAUGAAGUGUAACAAACAAGUUUUUGGAUUAUUAGAAAACACGAUCUAUUUUCAGAACGUUGAUGGGG
Molecule: unclassified non-coding RNA, 337 nt
Filed under: Hevea brasiliensis (rubber tree)
Lineage: Eukaryota; Viridiplantae; Streptophyta; Magnoliopsida; Malpighiales; Euphorbiaceae
Source: RNAcentral